AAAACGACUCUCGGCAACGGAUAUCUCGGCUCUCGCAUCGAUGAAGAACGUAGCGAAAUGCGAUACUUGGUGUGAAUUGCAGAAUCCCGUGAACCAUCGAGUUUUUGAACGCAAGUUGCGCCCAAAGCCAUUAGGCUAAGGGCACGUCUGCCUGGGCGUCGCGCAUCACGUCGCCC
Molecule: ribosomal RNA, 176 nt
Filed under: Ilex zygophylla
Lineage: Eukaryota; Viridiplantae; Streptophyta; Magnoliopsida; Aquifoliales; Aquifoliaceae
Description: 5.8S ribosomal RNA
Rfam family: 5.8S ribosomal RNA (bases 6-161)
About the family: 5.8S ribosomal RNA (5.8S rRNA) is a component of the large subunit of the eukaryotic ribosome. It is transcribed by RNA polymerase I as part of the 45S precursor that also contains 18S and 28S rRNA.
Source: RNAcentral